This is a non-coding RNA of Ciona intestinalis (vase tunicate), 3075 nucleotides long. The record is from RefSeq and is a predicted model, not a curated record. Lineage: Eukaryota; Metazoa; Chordata; Ascidiacea; Phlebobranchia; Cionidae.
UUUCUUAGGGGAAUGGAGAGAUUACAAACUGUCAUAUUUUUAAUUAUAAGCUAGGGCUUAAUGUUUCGUAAGCAAAAAUAGGUUUUGUGGGCAUUGUCAGGAAGUAUACCACAGGCUUUAAAACAACUGUAAUACAGAAACCUUUGUUUAACUACAUUUCUGCAUUGGUUAUUCACAUCAUAUUAUGUGGUAGUAAAUAAAAUCUUACUUGAAAAAAAAACGGUGUAAUUUAUGUCAAUAAAAAAACUAAUUCACUGUAGUUAUUUAUGUAUGUAUAAUAAUAUAUAAAACUUAUAUCCUAUUAUUGGUUACAUAAUAUACUGAUUGUGUUUUGAAACCAGGACCUUGGUACAUAUUUCAUUGCUGCAAAUUUGCAUAAAGAUAAUUGAAUAUAUAUUGCAAGCCAACAUAUAAAUAGAACAGCAGACAAACCACAACUUAGGAGUUACACCACAUUGCCACUGUAGUUAGUGAUAGGAAUACUCAAUAUACAAAUAGACAGAGGAAGUAAUAAAGCAUCAUUGAAACCAAAUAUUUCCUGUUGGGGGGGAUGACACUAAAUUUAGAUCACACUUAGUAUUAUCAUUGUAUGUAAUGACUAAUGUUCAAAGUUCAAAGGAUAACAUUGCUUUAAACUUUGAGUGGCAACCUAUUUCAGUAACAUUGUUUAAAUUUAGAUAUCAUUUUUGGUAAUGUCAGCAGCCAGUAUAGUAUUAAAACUCAAACAACUUAAACAAAUAUAUAAACUCUAAUUGCCAUGCAUAUUAUAAAUCUAAAACAUCUCUACAUUUAAUAUAUUAAUUCCAAAAAAGUAUGACAAAGCAAUUGGUUUUUACAAUAGCCAAAAACCUGUUUUAGAUUUUAAACUUACACUUUAAUAACUGAUGUAUACAUUAGAACAAUAACAUUAUAACAUAGAUAGAACCAUAGUUUUGUAAUUGAACAUUGCUUAACAGUUUUAUUGGAUAUCAUUAUCAGUUUACAAUGAUGACAAAAUGCUACCAGAACAAAAGUUUAUGCUAAUAACAAAUUUACAAAUGAACAAGAUUUACAAAGAUGUCGAACUAAAAAAUCAAUUGAAAUCGGGAUUAAGAAAUCUUGGGUAUAGAAUGCUAAGAAUGUCAAAAGCUAUAAAUAUUUUAUGAUAAUGCAAAUUUAAUUUUAGGUUAAAAAUAUCUGAGCAUCCACAAUAGGUUAACAAGGUUUAAUCAUUUGACAAUCAAAUAGUUUAAAUAAAAUAUAUAUAUAAGUUUUUUUUUUACAAUCAAAUAGUUUAAAAAUUGUAUCAAUUUUAUUACAGUAGUGGAAGUGGCUAUAAAACACGUCAUAAAAAAAUAGGAAGUAAAGAACAACAUUAAUAAAAUAGUGGUUUUAUAGUAAUCUAGUCAGUGUAUAAACCUCUCAUGACAUAGUAAUGAAAUAAGUGCCAACAAGGAAAUACCUUAGAAAUUAGUUUAUAAUGUAACAGGUAGACUUUUAAUCAGCACCAAAAUGGUUAUUACCAUUUAAUAAAUAAAAAAAUAAAUAAUUGAAUUAUGCAGUAAUAGACUAUAAAUUACCUAUGCUAUAAACAUAUAUGAUUCAAUUUCUAUCAAAAGAUACUGUAAUACCAACAAGGGGACUUGAACACGUUUUAAUUUCUAACUAAACAAUGUAUAUAUAUAUAACACAUAGGCUAUUAUAUGAAACUUUCUUGUUUAUUGUUUUUGUUGAUAAAAAUAGUUUUGUUAAGUAAUUAUCAUAUUCAUAAAGUAAAAAUGUAUAAUCUAAUUUGGGUAAGGUAAUUUAUACUCAUAUAUAAACUAUAUAAAAUAACUACUAUGAUUAAAUACAUCAUAAAAAUGACACUUCACACUCAAACUAACUAACAGAGAGCAAUAAAAAUGUAUUGGGCCUAAAUUUUCCUACUGCUACUACUAUAUAACAAAUUAUAUCACCGUUAAAUUAUCAAUACAUAACAAAUCUAACUCAAAUUACAACUGAAAACAUCACAUUAUUGUAUCAAUACAUAAGUUAUAAAUUGCAAUGAACAUAACAUUUGCACGUCGUGAAUUUGCUCUAAAACUAACACUAAAACCCACGAACGAUAACUUACAACCACACGGUGUCAGUUUACAACUUGAACUUUGACAACCUCCGUUGCGCGUAGAAAAAUGCGAUAAAUUCGAGAUUACUCGUGGACCGCGAUCUCCAUUCAGAGGAAAUUCGUCACAAUCGAAAAUUUCGCUAAAGGCGCCAAAACUUUGGUAAUAAUCGAGAAGUCGAUAAUUAAUUUUGUCCUAAUAUUUUUUUAUUUAAAGGAAAGUGUUCGUAUAAAGAACUCUAAAAUACCUCCUCGUAUUGAUUAGACUAUUAACGUGGUAGUUCUGAAUGAAUGCCUUCUGCUUACGCCGUGGCCUUCGUGCUUUCGCUUCGAAUCGGUUUUGGGUCUUUAUUACUUGGACAAAGCGCUCACUUCAAGAAUUUAGUCUUGUACAGAAACUAUAUUUAUAUUUUCUAUAAACCUAAAUGUAGUAAAUUACACAAGUUGUACAGAAGUUAACAAUACAACUGGAUUAACCAGUAAUGUGCAACUUUUAUUUAAUAACAGAUAACGCUCAAACAUUACACAAUGUUAAAAUGAAACAUAGAUUAUUUCCAAAAGAUACCAAAUUUUACCAACAGUGAUUUUGGUGUCUGGAAAAAGAGGAACAAAAGUUUUAUGAAGCAAAAUGUACAAUGUAAAAGCGACUUUGUAAAGCAGGUUACCCAGUUAUACUGUAAUCUGUUACUUGCUCUUUCAAGCAAUAUAAAAGCCAAUCAAUUGGUUUGUGAUAACCAAGCAUAUGUAUAAUAAAUUUAGACAUUUUACAUUAAAAAUCGAGUAGGAUUAUAAAUGAGAUUUUCAUUCCACACAAAACUUGAAUAUAUGUUAAACAUAAUUAUUUAUAAUCUAUUCUGUGCAGUUCUUUAUAAUAACCAGGUUAGAUUGCAAUGAAAACAGAGUUAAAUGCAUAGACACAAACAAAAAAGCAAAUACCAAAAGAGCCGCAAGUUAAGGCAGUAGGCCAAUUUACAAAAUGCCACAUUUAAAAC